RNAcentral lists this ribosomal RNA (305 nucleotides) under uncultured bacterium. Its description in RNAcentral is "bacterial SSU rRNA". It matches the Rfam family "Bacterial small subunit ribosomal RNA", at positions 337 to 634 of the family's 1533-position model. The record is from RNAcentral.
UCCUACGGGAGGCAGCAGUAGGGAAUCUUCCACAAUGGACGAAAGUCUGAUGGAGCAACGCCGCGUGAGUGAAGAAGGGUUUCGGCUCGUAAAGCUCUGUUGGUAGUGAAGAAAGAUAGAGGUAGUAACUGGCCUUUAUUUGACGGUAAUUACUUAGAAAGUCACGGCUAACUACGUGCCAGCAGCCGCGGGAAUACGUAGGUGGCAAGCGUUGUCCGGAUUUACUGGGUGUAAAGGGCGUGCAGCCGGGCUUACAAGUCAGAUGUGAAAUCCUGCGGCUCAACCGCAGCACUGCAUUUGAAACU